Long non-coding RNA from Oncorhynchus keta (chum salmon), 2344 nucleotides. RefSeq lists it as uncharacterized. The record is from RefSeq and is a predicted model, not a curated record. The transcript has 3 exons. NCBI's taxonomy places the organism in Eukaryota, Metazoa, Chordata, Actinopteri, Salmoniformes, Salmonidae.
CAGAGACAGAUGAGCUGGGAGACUGGUGGAGGACCCCAAGUAAGAUCAGAGACAGAUGAGCUGGGGGACUGGUGGAGAACCCCCAGUAAGACCAGAGACAGAGGAGCUGGGAGACUGGUGGAGGACCCGCAGGAAGACCAGAGACAGAGGAGCUGGGAGACUGGUGGAGAACCCCCAGUAAGACCAGAGACAGAGGAGCUGGGAGACUGGUGGAGGACCCCCAGUAAGACCAGAGACAGAUGAGCUGGGAGACUGGUGGAGGACCCCCAGUAAGACCAGAGGAGCUAGGGGACUGGUGGAGGACCCCCAGUCAGUCCAGAGACAGAUGAGCUGGGAGACUGGUGGAGGACCCCCAGUAAGACCAGAGUAGCUGGGGGACUGGUGGAGGACCCCCAGUAAGACCAGAGGAGCUGGGGGACUGGUGGAGGACCCCCAGUAAGACCAGAGGAGCUGGGGGACUGGUGGAGGACCCCCAGUAAGACCAGAGGAGCUGGGGGACUGGUGGAGGACCCCCAGUUGGACGAGAUAAGCUGGGUGACUGGUGGAGGACCCCCAGUAAGACCAGAGGAGCUGGGGGACUGGUGGAGGACCCCCAGUAAGACCAGAGGAGCUGGGGGACUGGUGGAGGACCCCCAGUAAGACCAGAGGAGCUGGGGAACUGGUGGAGGACCCCCAGUCAGGCCAGAGCAGAUGAGCUGGGGGACUGGUGGAGGACCCCCAGUAAGACCAGAGGAGCUGGGGGACUGGUGGAGGACCCCCAGUUGGACGAGAUAAGCUGGGUGACUGGUGGAGGACCCCCAGUAAGACUAGAGGAGCUGGGGGACAGGUGGAGAACCCCCAGUAAGACCAGAGGCAGAUGGGGGACUGGUGGAGAACCCCCAGUAAGACCAGAGGAGCUGGGAGACUGGUGGAGGACCCCCAGUAAGACCAGAGCAGCUGAGGGACUGGUGGAGGACCCCCAGUUAGACCAGAGGAGCUGGGGGUCUGGUGGAGGACCCCCAGUUAGACCAGAGGAGCUGAGAGACUGGUGGAUGACCCCCAGUUAGACCAGAGGAGCUGGGGGUCUGGUGGAGGACCCCCAGUUAGACCAGAGGAAAUUGGGAACUGGUGGAAGACCCCCAGUUAGACCAGAGGAGCUGGGGGACUGGUGCAAGACCCCAGUUAGACCAGAGAAAGAUGAGCUAGGGGACUGGUGGAGGACCGCCAGUUAGACCAGAGGUGCUGGGGGACUGGUGGAGGACCCCCAGUAAGACCAGAGGAGCUGAGGGACUGGUGGAGGACCCCCAGUAAGACCAGAGGCCGAUGGGGGACUGGUGGAGGACCCCCAGUUAGACCAGAGGAGCUGGGGGACUGGUGGAGGACCCCCAGUAAGACCAGAGGAGCUGGGGGACUGGUGGAGGACCCCCAGUAAGACCAGAGGCAGAUGGGGGACUGGUGAAGGACCCCCACUUAGACCAGAGGAGCUGGGGGACUGGUGGAUGACCCCCAGUAAGACUAGAUGAGCUGGGGGACUGGUGGAGGACCCCCAGUUGGACGACAUGAGCUGGGUGACUGGUGGAGGACCCCAGUAAGACCAGAGUCAGAUGGGGGACUGGUGGAGGACCCCCAGUAAGACCAGAGGCAGAUGGGGGACUGGUGGAGGACCCCCAGUAAGACCAGAGGCAGAUGGGGGACUGGUGGAGGACCCCCAGUAAGACUAUAGGAGCUGGGGGACUGGUGGAGGACCCCCAGUAAGACCAGAGGCAGAUGGGGGACUGGUGGAGGACCCCCAGUAAGACCAGAGGAGCUGGGGGACUGGUGGAGGACCCCCAGUAAGACCAGAGGAGCUGGGGGUCUGGUGGAGGACCCCCAGUUGGACGAGAUGAGCUGGGGGACAGGUAGAGAACCCCCCAGUAAGACCAGAGGCAGAUGGGGGACUGGUGGAGGACCCCCAGUAAGACCAGAGGAGCUGGGGGUCUGGUGGAGGACCCCCAGUUAGACCAGAGGCAGAUGGGGGACUGGUGGAGGACCCCCAGUAAGACCAGAGGAGCUGGGGGACUGGUGGAGGACCCCCAGUAAGACCAGAGGAGCUGGGGGUCUGGUGGAGGACCCCCAGUUAGACCAGAGGAGCUGGGGGACUGGUGGAGGACCCCCAGUAAGACCAGAGGAGCUGGGGAACUGGUGGAAGACCCCCAGUUAGACCAGAGGAGCUGGGGGACUGGUGGAAGACCCCAGUUAGACCAGAGAAAGAUGAGCUAGUGGACUGGUGGAGGACCCCCAGUAAGACCAGAGGAGCUGGGGGACUGGUGGAGGACCCCCAGUAAGACCAGAUGAGCUCUGGGACUGGUGGAAGACCCCAGUUAUA